UACAGAGGUCCCAAGCGUUGUUCGGAUUUAUUGGGCGUAAAGAGCUCGUAGGCGGCUCGUCGCGUCGACCGUGAAAACCCGCGGCUUAACUGCGGGCUUGCGGUUGAUACGGGCGGGCUAGAGUUCGGUAGGGGAGACUGGAAUUCCUGGUGUAGCGGUGAAAUGCGCAGAUAUCAGGAGGAACACCGGUGGCGAAGGCGGGUCUCUGGGCCGAUACUGACGCUGAGGAGCGAAAGCGUGGGGAGCGAACAGG
This 253-nucleotide ribosomal RNA is filed under the name uncultured bacterium. RNAcentral describes it as "partial 16S ribosomal RNA". It matches the Rfam family "Bacterial small subunit ribosomal RNA", at positions 524 to 776 of the family's 1533-position model. The record is from RNAcentral.